RNAcentral lists this ribosomal RNA (894 nucleotides) under Nectriopsis microspora. Its description in RNAcentral is "LSU rRNA". It matches the Rfam family "Eukaryotic large subunit ribosomal RNA", at positions 38 to 964 of the family's 3401-position model. The record is from RNAcentral. Lineage: Eukaryota; Fungi; Ascomycota; Sordariomycetes; Hypocreales; Bionectriaceae.
GCAUAUCAAUAAGCGGAGGAAAAGAAACCAACAGGGAUUGCCCCAGUAACGGCGAAGUGAAGCGGCAACAGCUCAAAUUUGAAAUCUGGCCCUAGGCCCGAGUUGUAAUUUGUAGAGGAUGUUUCUGACGAGGUACCUUCCGAGUUCCCUGGAACGGGACGCCAUAGAGGGUGAGAGCCCCGUACGGUUGGUCGCCAAGUCUCUGUGAAACUCCUUCGACGAGUCGAGUAGUUUGGGAAUGCUGCUCUAAAUGGGAGGUAUACGUCUUCUAAAGCUAAAUAUAGGCCAGAGACCGAUAGCGCACAAGUAGAGUGAUCGAAAGAUGAAAAGCACUUUGAAAAGAGGGUUAAAUAGUACGUGAAAUUGUUGAAAGGGAAGCGCAUAUGACCAGACUUGGCCAGGUUAAUCAUCCAUCGUUCUCGGUGGUGCACUUUGCCUGGCCAGGCCAGCAUCAGUUCGCUUUGGGGGAUAAAGACUUUGGGAAUGUGGCUCCCUCGGGAGUGUUAUAGCCCAUUGUGUAAUACCCUGGAGUGGACUGAGGUUCGCGCAUCUGCAAGGAUGCUGGCGUAAUGGUCAUCUGCGACCCGUCUUGAAACACGGACCAAGGAGUCGUCUUCGUAUGCGAGUGUUCGGGUGUCAAACCCCUACGCGUAAUGAAAGUGAACGUAGGAGAGAGCUUCGGCGCAUCUCCGACCGAUCCUGAUGUUCUCGGAUGGAUUUGAGUAAGAGCAUACGGGGCCGGACCCGAAAGAAGGUGAACUAUGCCUGUAUAGGGUGAAGCCAGAGGAAACUCUGGUGGAGGCUCGCAGCGGUUCUGACGUGCAAAUCGAUCGUCAAAUAUGGGCAUGGGGGGCGAAAGACUAAUCGAACCUUCUAGUAGCUGGUUUCCGCCGA